UGAUGAUUUUGAAAGUUAACUUGUAUGAUUAUAUCAUGUAUAUGAAAUUGUACUCUCUAGUAACAGUUUUACGUUCACAUGCUCAAGUGAACCUUUAGGUGGAGGAACGGAAACAUCUCUCUUCUUUAUGCUCCUACUCGUCCAGUUUAAUCAUUAUUGUUUUUGGUUCAUGGCUCAAUCAUGGGGUCAUGCUAAUGAAAAAAGUGAUGACAAUAUUACUUCUAAUGCUUUAUCUUCUUUCCAUAUCAGUGAAGGAAGCGGGUAAGAAUGAGAACAAUGUUAUUCUUUUCAACCAUCAGAUUAUCCACCCACAACAGAUUCCAAACCAGACUCUCCCCUUGGGAAUCAAAUUGAAAAAAGAUGCUCAACUUUUUUUGUGUAUAGAGUCUCAGUCAUGGUUGUGGAUUGUGAUCAUUCUUGCCCAAAACAAUUGAAUGAUUUUUUCCCUGCAGAGUUGCUAUCAGCUUAUCCUCAAUAAGUUCAAGAAAUUUUAUGGACUGUAUUAUUUUAUGUCUGAUCGAUUUCUUGUCUGACAUUACAACUACUUAACUGACUCUCCUAAUUUUUGCAGCAUUGGGAAUUUCUUCUUUGCAGGAGCACGUUUAUUUUUUCAGUCUUUAGAUGCUGCAAUAUUUUUGUUUUCACUUGUUUCAGAUAUUCCCUCAGAAAGUAUGGUCCUCCCCGUGAUUUCGACCAAUGACAGGCUUACAUUAGGAUGUGAAUUGUGGAGAAUAUACUAGGAAUUCAAUAUGGCUGUUGUCUUCCGUUUGGGUGGCUACAAUGAAUAUACUUGAAGUUUUAUUUGAUGUGAUUAAAUCACAUGGAAGACUAUGUUAUUGAUAUGUAACUCAUAUCUUGUAAUUUUAUAUUGUAAUUUUAUAUUUUGUAAUGUAAUGUAAUAUGAAUGGAUUGUAUGCAUUAUAGUUUUUCAUUUUUAUAUAUUUUAUUAUUCUGGACAA
Carya illinoinensis is the source of this 959-nucleotide long non-coding RNA. RefSeq lists it as uncharacterized. The record is from RefSeq and is a predicted model, not a curated record. NCBI's taxonomy places the organism in Eukaryota, Viridiplantae, Streptophyta, Magnoliopsida, Fagales, Juglandaceae. The transcript is spliced from 2 exons.